GGCCUAGUGGUCUAGUGGUAUGAUUGUCGCUUCGGGUUCGCCCAGUAGUCUCUAGGCUAUUACCAGAUUGUGACAGGCCCCGCGUUCGAAUCGCGGCUAGGCCC
Molecule: transfer RNA, 104 nt
Filed under: Aplosporella prunicola CBS 121167
Lineage: Eukaryota; Fungi; Ascomycota; Dothideomycetes; Botryosphaeriales; Aplosporellaceae
Description: tRNA-Pro
Source: RNAcentral